UCCUUUCUAGGGCCUGGGUUUCUUCCUUUAUCUUGUCAGUGUGGUUGUUUAUUUCCCUCCUUGGUUAUUUCUUCCCCACAAAUCACUAUAAUAAGAACAAUUUCACACAGAGUGAACAUUCACAUGGAGUCAAGUUCUUUGCUGAGGCCUGUACCUGUUUCCUCUAAGCCACCUCUCUGCUUUGAAAACAGUUCCCUCUCUCUGCUUCUGAGCUCAUGAGGGGAGUCACUCAGGCGUCAGCAUCCAAACCACAGGGAAGACUCAUCGACCGACCCCACGGCCUGCUUUGGGGGAUGGUGCAUGUGGUGAUAUUUCUGCCAUGUGAAGAAGGUGCUUUCUUCCUCCUCACUUUCUGCUAUGAUGGAUUUUUAAGCCAAGCCCAUGAGAACUGUUACAGGAUGUAUGUAAUAAAAAGACCUCCCAGCUUCUACUCCUGCUCCGGUGUGCAGGGACAAGCUGUGUCUGUGACUUAACACCCUCCACGUCUGGCCUUGAUUUCUUUGGCUCUCCAGAACCUACGGGAAGAUCAAGAAAUGUCACUUCUGAG
Molecule: long non-coding RNA, 547 nt
Organism: Rhinopithecus roxellana (golden snub-nosed monkey)
Lineage: Eukaryota; Metazoa; Chordata; Mammalia; Primates; Cercopithecidae
Exons: 4
Source: RefSeq, a predicted model, not a curated record